RNAcentral lists this ribosomal RNA (399 nucleotides) under Clostridioides difficile. RNAcentral's name for it is "partial 23S ribosomal RNA". It matches the Rfam family "Bacterial large subunit ribosomal RNA", at positions 2524 to 2925 of the family's 2925-position model. Lineage: Bacteria; Bacillati; Bacillota; Clostridia; Peptostreptococcales; Peptostreptococcaceae. The record is from RNAcentral.
CCUCGAUGUCGGCUCAUCACAUCCUGGGGCUGUAGUAGGUCCCAAGGGUUGGGCUGUUCGCCCAUUAAAGUGGUACGCGAGCUGGGUUCAGAACGUCGUGAGACAGUUCGGUCCCUAUCCGUCGCAGGCGUAGGAAAUUUGAGAAGACCUGUCCUUAGUACGAGAGGACCGGGAUGGACGUACCUCUGGUGUACCAGUUGUUCUGCCAAGGGCAUGGCUGGGUAGCUAUGUACGGAAUGGAUAAGCGCUGAAAGCAUCUAAGCGCGAAGCCAACUUCAAGAUAAGAUUUCCCACCGCAAGGGUAAGACCCCAGAAAGACUAUCUGGUUGAUAGGUCGAAGGUGUAAGUGCAGCAAUGUAUUUAGCUUAUCGAUACUAAUAGGUCGAGGACUUGACCAAU